This 203-nucleotide ribosomal RNA is filed under the name uncultured bacterium. RNAcentral describes it as "partial 16S ribosomal RNA". It matches the Rfam family "Bacterial small subunit ribosomal RNA", at positions 524 to 726 of the family's 1533-position model. The record is from RNAcentral.
UACAGAGGUCUCAAGCGUUGUUCGGAUUCAUUGGGCGUAAAGGGUGCGUAGGUGGCGCGGUAAGUCGGGUGUGAAAUCUCGGAGCUUAACUCCGAAAUUGCAUUCGAUACUGCCGUGCUCGAGGACUGGAGAGGAGACUGGAAUUCAUGGUGUAGCAGUGAAAAUGCGUAGAGAUCAUGAGGAAGACCGUGGCGAAGGCGGGU